RNAcentral lists this ribosomal RNA (681 nucleotides) under Arthrobacter sp. RNAcentral's name for it is "bacterial SSU rRNA". It matches the Rfam family "Bacterial small subunit ribosomal RNA", at positions 150 to 842 of the family's 1533-position model. Lineage: Bacteria; Bacillati; Actinomycetota; Actinomycetes; Micrococcales; Micrococcaceae. The record is from RNAcentral.
UGGGAAACUGGGUCUAAUACCGGAUAUGACUCCUCAUCGCAUGGUGGGGGGUGGAAAGCUUUUUGUGGUUUUGGAUGGACUCGCGGCCUAUCAGCUUGUUGGUGAGGUAAUGGCUCACCAAGGCGACGACGGGUAGCCGGCCUGAGAGGGUGACCGGCCACACUGGGACUGAGACACGGCCCAGACUCCUACGGGAGGCAGCAGUGGGGAAUAUUGCACAAUGGGCGCAAGCCUGAUGCAGCGACGCCGCGUGAGGGAUGACGGCCUUCGGGUUGUAAACCUCUUUCAGUAGGGAAGAAGCGAAAGUGACGGUACCUGCAGAAGAAGCGCCGGCUAACUACGUGCCAGCAGCCGCGGUAAUACGUAGGGCGCAAGCGUUAUCCGGAAUUAUUGGGCGUAAAGAGCUCGUAGGCGGUUUGUCGCGUCUGCCGUGAAAGUCCGGGGCUCAACUCCGGAUCUGCGGUGGGUACGGGCAGACUAGAGUGAUGUAGGGGAGACUGGAAUUCCUGGUGUAGCGGUGAAAUGCGCAGAUAUCAGGAGGAACACCGAUGGCGAAGGCAGGUCUCUGGGCAUUAACUGACGCUGAGGAGCGAAAGCAUGGGGAGCGAACAGGAUUAGAUACCCUGGUAGUCCAUGCCGUAAACGUUGGGCACUAGGUGUGGGGGACAUUCCACGUUUUCC